GGGGAGGGCUUAGUCGACGGAUCUGCCUCUGGGGAGACUGGUAGCCUUAGACCCAGGAGGCGACUUCUGCGGUGGACACCCCGGCUUCCGGAGGAGAGGGAAGGAGGGCGGCGGGCCUGCGGCUCAGGAGUGAGGCACAAUGGAAUCUGGCUUCACCACCAAGGACACUUAUCUGAGCCAUUUUAAUUCCCAUGAUUAGCUAGAACAAUAUUACAACUUUGGGUCCAGACAAUCUGCAGGAAACCAGAUUGUUGGCCACUUUGUGAAAAAUCUCUUCAAGAUAUUCUGCCUGGGGACGGAUGGAACAUUUACCUCAGCGGAGCCUCUGACUUACCACGGCAGCCCUCUGCCUAAGGAGAUGAGAGCACAUGACCUUCAGAGUGGAACAGGAUGGGAGCUGGACCUAGGAAGGAGGCACCAGGAACAGAACUGAGCUCCACCUGCUCCACAGGGACGUAAAUCUCAGCACUGACAAGUCUCAAAACUUGAAAGGAAAUAGUUGUGACAGGAAAAUUUUUAUACACAGUCCAGCUUUUUUAUGUGAAAAGAUAAUUCUCAGAUAUAUAAAUUUCAGGAAAAAAAAGAAUUCAUGAACUCCUCUCUUAAAAAUAAUUUGAAGACGUCCUAGAUAUCACCAAGAGAUUAAGCAAAAAAGAGUUUGGAAAGAGAGAAGCAUGAAAGAACUGACAUAGGGACAGUACCAAGUUAAAAUAGAGAUAAGUUUAAAUGAUUGAUAACCUGAAAAGAAUUAGUCUUCAUUUGUAUUGUAAAAAGCAAUAAUGUAAUAUGUAUAAUCUGGGACUAAAUCCCCAGAAGAUAUUAAUAAAGCCUUGGAGAUAUGGU
This 843-nucleotide long non-coding RNA is filed under the name Dasypus novemcinctus (nine-banded armadillo). RNAcentral describes it as "lncRNA (ENSDNOG00000051948.1)". The record is from RNAcentral. Lineage: Eukaryota; Metazoa; Chordata; Mammalia; Cingulata; Dasypodidae.